GUCCUCGUAGCUCAGCUGGAUAGAGCUCCCGCCUUCUAAGCGGACGGUCAACGGUUCGAGUCCGUUCGAGGACG
Molecule: transfer RNA, 74 nt
Filed under: Solobacterium sp.
Lineage: Bacteria; Bacillati; Bacillota; Erysipelotrichia; Erysipelotrichales; Erysipelotrichaceae
Also listed under: 1 other name
Description: tRNA-Arg
Rfam family: tRNA
About the family: Transfer RNA (tRNA) molecules are approximately 80 nucleotides in length. Their secondary structure includes four short double-helical elements and three loops (D, anti-codon, and T loops).
Source: RNAcentral